RNAcentral lists this ribosomal RNA (450 nucleotides) under uncultured bacterium. Its description in RNAcentral is "bacterial SSU rRNA". It matches the Rfam family "Bacterial small subunit ribosomal RNA", at positions 32 to 461 of the family's 1533-position model. The record is from RNAcentral.
AAUCAACGCUGGCGGCGUGCCUCAGACAUGCAAGUCGAACGCGAAAGUUUCCUUCGGGAGGCGAGUAGAGUGGCGCACGGGUGAGUAACACGUAGGUAAUCUACCUUUGGGUGGGGAAUAACAGCCGGAAACGGCUGCUAAUACCGCAUAAUGCAGCGGCUCGACAUCGAGACAGUUGUUAAAGCGGGGGAUCGCAAGACCUCGCGCCUAAAGAGGAGCCUGCGGCGGAUAGCUAGUUGGUGAGGUAAUGGCUCACCAAGGCAUCGAUCCGUAGCCGGCCUGAGAGGGCGGUCGGCCACACUGACACUGACAUACGGGUCAGACUCCUACGGGAGGCAGCAGUCGGGAAUUUUGGGCAAUGGGCGCAAGCCUGACCCAGCAACCGCCGCGUGAAGGAUGAAAUCCCUCGGGAUGUAAACUUCGCAAGAACAGGAAGAAUAAGUGGGGGAC